RNAcentral lists this ribosomal RNA (233 nucleotides) under uncultured bacterium. Its description in RNAcentral is "partial 16S ribosomal RNA". It matches the Rfam family "Bacterial small subunit ribosomal RNA", at positions 103 to 334 of the family's 1533-position model. The record is from RNAcentral.
CGGGUGAGUAACGCGUGAGGAACCUGCCUCAAAGAGGGGGACAACAGUUGGAAACGACUGCUAAUACCGCAUAAGUCCACAGGUCGGCAUCGACCAGAGGGAAAAGGAGCAAUCCGCUUUGAGAUGGCCUCGCGUCCGAUUAGCUAGUUGGUGAGGUAAUGGCCCACCAAGGCAACGAUCGGUAGCCGGACUGAGAGGUUGAACGGCCACAUUGGGACUGAGACACGGCCCAG